This is a long non-coding RNA of Oncorhynchus tshawytscha (Chinook salmon), 2319 nucleotides long. The record is from Ensembl. Lineage: Eukaryota; Metazoa; Chordata; Actinopteri; Salmoniformes; Salmonidae.
CCUCCCUCUGUAUCACCACGUCGUUGAGGAGGACCUCCCUCUAACACCACAUCACUGAGGAGGACCUCCCUCUGUAUCACCACAUCACUGAGGAGGACCUCCCUCUAACACCACAUCACUGAGGAGGACCUCCCUCUAACACCACAUCACUGAGGAGGACCUCCCUCUGUAUCACCACGUCAUUGAGGAGGAGCUCAGUAACUAACUUUUACAUGAGUUGAUUGCAUAAUAGUGGUACAUCUAAAAUGGCACCCUAUUCCCUAUAUUGUACACUACUUUAGACCAGAGCCCUAUGACACCCUAUUCCCUAUAUUGUACACUACUUUAGACCAGAGCCCUGUGGGUUCUGAAGUUUCAAAGUAGUGCACUAUAUAGGGAAUGGGAUUCCAUUUGAGACGCAACGCUAUGACUACUAGGACCACCUGACUGACUGCUGGUAGAAUCUACACACUAGGUUUGACCUCCUUUCUCCACUAUGGGGCACUCUACAGUAGGACUAAAUCUUUGUCGAAUGCUGCACAUGGUUAAUACACAGAUGAGGUUUUAAUACACUGAUGAGGUUUUAAUACACGGAUGAGGUGAGGAUACACUGAUGAGGUUUUAAUACACUGAUGAGGUGAGGAUACACGGGUGAGGUGAGGAUACACUGAUGAGGUUUUAAUACACUGAUGAGGUGAGGAUACACGGGUGAGGUGAGGAUACACGGGUGAGGUGAGGAUACACUGAUGAGGUUUUAAUACACUGAUGAGGUAAUGAUACACGGAUGAGGUUUUAAUACACGGAUGAGGUGAGGAUACACGGGUGAGGUGAGGAUACACUGAUGAGGUUUUAAUACACUGAUGAGGUGAGGAUACACGGGUGAGGUGAGGAUACACUGAUGAGGUUUUAAUACACUGAUGAGGUAAUGAUACACGGAUGAGGUUUUAAUACACGGAUGAGGUGAGGAUACACUGAUGAGGUUUUAAUACACGGAUGAGGUGAGGAUACACAGAUGAGGUUUUAUUGGUUAAAGUUUGUCUAUUUCCUCUCCAACGAUGACAUGGUUUUUGUUGUUUAAUUAUGUCUCGUCUCGGAAACCUGCUUUUCCUGGUACUUUUCAAAUGAACAGAUAACAUCUUGUGAUGAUUUUUAAGUUUUCAUGUUUGUAAUAACAGUCUUUAGCGUGGACACGGCCAAAUCAUUCAGUUGAUUUCAUUAAAUUAGUCUUAUGUUUUGUGAGUUUAACCUUGCAGACAUGACAAGUGUCAUCGUGUGUUUGGCUGGGAGCCGUUAUGAUUUAGCUGCUGUUCAUGUGGUUGAAUCUGUGAUUGCUUAGUUUAUAGUUUAUAACAAUGACAUUUAUUUGUUGAAUCACGUCGAGUUAAUUUGAUGUUUCAUCAGUGUACAUUUUAUUAUUCAAAAGCAUAUGGACAGCGGUGUUUCUUCCACAUUUUUGUUAAAUAAAUACUUUUGUUUGGUUUUUUUUUAAACUUAAAUACUGUGACUUGACUUCAGGUACCCAGAAUGAUCAAUAACAACAGUACAAAUGGAAUAACCAACUGUAGCUUUGGUAGUUUCACAGGUCCUUUUAAAGUGCUGUUAGCAUUGACUUACUCUUCAAGUAAGAUGUACAUCAAUCAUCGAUCAUGUUUUUUCAAUCACCUCACUGUGAGGACUUCUUUCUAUUUAAAUCUGAACCUGUAGUGCUGACAUCUUUGUCCUGGGGAAUAUGGUAGUCCUGUGUGAGACUUUAACAACACUGACCAUCCAGUCUGUCAAUACAAUCAUCACAGUCUGUAGCCUAACGUGUAAAAGUCCCAGCCUCGGUCUUACACAGUAGCUGAAGGUUUAUUUCUGUUUUUACUAAAGAAAAACACUGACACAUAUAUUUACUGUUCUGUGUUUUUUAAAUGCUGUUUGACUGUUCAUGAUUCCAUGUCAACACUAGACACCAGAAACAAUAAAGUGUUUUUUUGAUUCCUUUCUCAGACUCUUCCUGUCAUUUCAUUUGGGGGGGGGGGGUAGUUUCACAUUCUACUGUUGUUGUGUACAUCUGUUGUUGAGAGAAACGCGGAGUGUCAAUCUCUUCGUCUGAUUAACUCAUCUCUAAUGUCUCCCAUUUAUGAAAUGGAUGGUUGUAAAAAAUACAAAUGUAAAAAAUGUUUUGUAAAAGGCAGGAGACUGUUUGUCAUGGCAACAGCAAGUAUUCCAAGUCAUGAGUCUCUUUGAGGAUAAAUGAGAGAACUUAGAGGCGAAAGGAAAAAGAACCCUGGACACACUCUCCCUAGCUCUACAACUUCCUGUAUACCAACUGUGGUAUAACUGACUACAGGAUUGGGC